CUGCGGGUUAAACCCAGGAUCUCCUGAAUGCUAAGCACGGGCUCUGCCACUGAGCAAUAAUCCCCACAAACAGAUUUUUAUUGUAACCGUUUUCAACUUCUUAGGAGGAGACAUCUUAGUUUCUGAUAUAAAUGCCCCCCACAUCUAUAAGCUUUUACCAUAAAACCCUUCCAGUAUGGAGAAGGAACAAUCCCCUCUCCAUACUAACCCCCUCCCCGGCUCACCAGACUAAGACCUGGGCUCCCUCGCCCACCAGCCCCUGGCGGGCAUCGCUCCGCCCACGCCCCACCCCGGAAGUCCCGCCUCUGGCUCCGGGCGAAAGUUUCCCCCGGAACCGGAAGCGGAGGUCGCUGACUGGCGGUCCCCCUAUGGAGCGUGUUUCUCCUUUCUAGUAUAAAUCUGUACUGCGUGUUCCUGCUUAAUCCAUCCUCUGAAUGUAGGAGUCACUGCGGACCUAAAAUCCCAGCACCCGGCCCUCAGCCCACGUAAAUCCAGACGGCACCGCUCCAGAUCGAUCUCUGAAGACCCACGUUGUCUGAGGAAGAAGUCCAGAAGAGGAGGAAGAGAAACAAAAAGGAAUCAAGAAUGACUGUUUCUCAGGAAAUACCCCGGGAUUCAACCACGGCCCCACGGCAACCACUUGGAGACCCACGGUCGCAGCCACUGGAUUGCUUGAGCCUCAGGAGCAAGACAUCUUAGUCUCCAAGUUUAGCAGCCCACAGUGCUGUGAGAUUUUACUUUAAAACUGUUCCAGGGUCAAGACAAGGGGAAGCACCAUCUGUGCACCCUCCCACCUCCGCCUGGGGAUCCCUCCUUGCCCCACCCUUACCGGAAGGGCUCCGCCCAGGCCCCGCCCCAGAAGUCCCGCCUUUAAGUCCCCCGCCGGCAGUUUCUUCUGGAAAGAGAAGUGGGAAAUGCCUAGGGAGGGCUAGCCAGCGGAGCAUGAGUUUCUUCUUUCUAGUAUAAAUCUGUGCUGCGCGGUCCCCCUUCCUCCGUCCUCAGGGUGUGGGAGUCACUGCGGACCAAAAGCCCCAUCACCCGGCCAUGUAAGUCCUGACGGCGCAGCCUCAGGUGCCACUGUGUGUGCGGGAGACAUAGGCCAACCAAACAGAAACGGAGUUUGGAGCUGAAAAAGGUUUAUUGGGAGGCUGAGUAAGGAGUAAUACAGACAAAAUUUCAGAGAACAUUUUGUUUUUUACUAUUUUUUAGUAUUUUAACUUUUAAAAGUAUUUUUAGGUUUUUUGUUUGUGUUUAGUAUUAUGGGUUGCAACUGAAGAAAUCUUGAGAUGCACUAUGAAAGAUAUAAAAGAAUUUGGAGUGUUUCCUUGGUUGAUGUGGGGU
Long non-coding RNA from Vicugna pacos (alpaca), 1341 nucleotides. RefSeq lists it as uncharacterized. The record is from RefSeq and is a predicted model, not a curated record. Lineage: Eukaryota; Metazoa; Chordata; Mammalia; Artiodactyla; Camelidae.